GUAAAGGUGUCUUUAGACACCACCUUUGUUCUUUGAAAUUUUUUC
This is a non-coding RNA of Picea glauca (white spruce), 45 nucleotides long. Lineage: Eukaryota; Viridiplantae; Streptophyta; Pinopsida; Pinales; Pinaceae. The record is from Rfam.